This 257-nucleotide ribosomal RNA is filed under the name uncultured bacterium. RNAcentral's name for it is "partial 16S ribosomal RNA". It matches the Rfam family "Bacterial small subunit ribosomal RNA", at positions 337 to 586 of the family's 1533-position model. The record is from RNAcentral.
UCCUACGGGGCGCAGCAGUAGGGAAUCUUCCACAAUGGACGAAAGUCUGAUGGAGCAACGCCGCGUGAGUGAAGAAGGGUUUCGGCUCGUAAAGCUCUGUUGGUAGUGGAGAAAGAUAGAGGUAGUAACUGGCCGUUAUUUGACGGUAAUUACUUAGAAAGUCACGGCUAACUACGUGCCAGCCGCCGCGGUAAUACGUAGGUGGCAAGCGUUGUCCGGAUUUAUUGGGCGUAAAGCGAGUGCAGGGGGGUUCAUAA